GAUGAACGCUGGCGGCGUGCCUAACACAUGCAAGUCGAACGGAGAUUACGGACGGAAGUUUUCGGAUGGAAGCCUGUAAUUCUUAGUGGCGGACGGGUGAGUAACGCGUGGGCAACCUGCCCUAUACAGGGGGAUAGCAGCUGGAAACGGCUGGUAAGACCGCAUAAGUCGGUUAAAUCGCAUGAUUUGAUCGGGAAAUGAGCAAUCAGGUAUAGGAUGGGCCCGCGUCCGAUUAGCCAGUUGGCAGGGUAAAAGCCUACCAAAGCGACGAUCGGUAGCCGGACUGAGAGGUCGGACGGCCACAUUGGGACUGAGACACGGCCCAAACUCCUACGGGAGGCAGCAGUGGGGGAUAUUGCACAAUGGAGGAAACUCUGAUGCAGCGACGCCGCGUGAGUGAAGAAGUAUUGCGGUAUGUAAAGCUCUAUCAGCAGGGAAGAUGAUGACGGUACCUGACUAAGAAGCCCCGGCUAACUACG
Molecule: ribosomal RNA, 479 nt
Filed under: uncultured bacterium
Lineage: Bacteria
Description: partial 16S ribosomal RNA
Rfam family: Bacterial small subunit ribosomal RNA
Source: RNAcentral